UCUUGCAAACUAAAGAUGGCGACCGGCGCACGGGUGAGUAACACGUAUCCAACCUGCCGAUAACUCGGGGAUAGCCUUUCGAAAGAAAGAUUAGUAUCCGAUGGUAUAUUAAAACCGCAUGGUUUUACUAUUAAAGAAUUUCGGUUAUCGAUGGGGAUGCGUUCCAUUAGUUUGUUGGCGGGGUAACGGCCCACCAAGACUACGAUGGAUAGGGGUUCUGAGAGGAAGGUCCCCCACAUUGGAACUGAGACACGGUCCAA
RNAcentral lists this ribosomal RNA (260 nucleotides) under uncultured bacterium. RNAcentral describes it as "partial 16S ribosomal RNA". It matches the Rfam family "Bacterial small subunit ribosomal RNA", at positions 73 to 334 of the family's 1533-position model. The record is from RNAcentral.